Molecule: unclassified non-coding RNA, 238 nt
Filed under: uncultured Sordariomycetes
Lineage: Eukaryota; Fungi; Ascomycota; Sordariomycetes
Also listed under: 1 other name
Description: sequence contains ITS2
Source: RNAcentral
AACGCACAUUGCGCCCACUAGUAUUCUGGUGGGCAUGCCUGUUCGAGCGUCAUUUCAACCCUCAAGCCUGGCUUGGUGUUGGGGCUCUGCGUCUGCAGUCCCUUAAAUCCAGUGGCGGACACGCUAGGUCUCCGAGCGCAGUAGUUUCUUCUCGCUCAGGACGGCCGGCGUGGGCUUGCCUCGCACCCAUCUUAUCAAGGUUGACCUCGGAUCAGGUAGGAAUACCCGCUGAACUUAA